RNAcentral lists this ribosomal RNA (909 nucleotides) under uncultured bacterium. RNAcentral describes it as "bacterial SSU rRNA". It matches the Rfam family "Bacterial small subunit ribosomal RNA", at positions 8 to 916 of the family's 1533-position model. The record is from RNAcentral.
AGAGUUUGAUCCUGGCUCAGGAUGAACGCUAGCGGCAGGCCUAACACAUGCAAGUCGAGGGGUAACAGGGUAGCAAUAUCGCUGACGACCGGCGCACGGGUGAGUAAUGCAUAUGCAACCUUUCCUUUAACUGGGGCAUAGCCCGGAGAAAUUCGGAUUAAUACCCCAUAACAUCAUUGAAGGGCAUCUUUUGAUGAUUAAAGCUCCGGCGGUUAAAGAUGGGCAUAUGUGCCAUUAGCUAGUUGGUGAGGUAACGGCUCACCAAGGCUACGAUGGUUAGGGGGUCUGAGAGGAUGAUCCCCCACACUGGUACUGAGACACGGACCAGACUCCUACGGGAGGCAGCAGUGAGGAAUAUUGGGCAAUGGGCGCAAGCCUGACCCAGCCAUGCCGCGUGAAGGAUGAAUGCCCUAUGGGUCGUAAACUUCUUUUGUACGGGACAAAACUCCUGGUCGUGACCGGGAUUGAUGGUACCGUACGAAUAAGCAUCGGCUAACUCCGUGCCAGCAGCCGCGGUAAUACGGAGGAUGCAAGCGUUAUCCGGAUUCAUUGGGUUUAAAGGGUGCGUAGGCGGAAUAAUAAGUCAGUGGUGAAAGCCUGUGGCUCAACCAUAGAAUUGCCAUUGAUACUGUUAUUCUUGAGUAUAGUUGAAGUGGGCGGAAUGUGUAAUGUAGCGGUGAAAUGCUUAGAUAUUACACAGAACACCAAUUGCGAAGGCAGCUCACUAAGCUGUUACUGACGCUGAGGCACGAAAGCGUGGGGAACAAACAGGAUUAGAUACCCUGGUAGUCCACGCCGUAAACGAUGAUCACUCGUUGUUGGCGAUACACCGUCAGCGACUGAGCGAAAGCAAUAAGUGAUCCACCUGGGGAGUACGGUCGCAAGACUGAAACUCAAAGGAAUUGACGG